AAAUUAGGGUGAGGGCAAUUCCUAAGAAUACCCUUAAAUCUCUCCCAAGCUUGGUAGAGAUUCUCUCCUUCUUUCUAUUUGAAACUCAAGAUCUCGCUUCUUAAGUGU
This is a non-coding RNA of Capsicum annuum, 108 nucleotides long. NCBI's taxonomy places the organism in Eukaryota, Viridiplantae, Streptophyta, Magnoliopsida, Solanales, Solanaceae. The record is from Rfam.